This 90-nucleotide transfer RNA is filed under the name Paracoccaceae bacterium. Its description in RNAcentral is "Rhodobacteraceae bacterium tRNA-Ser". It matches the Rfam family "tRNA". Rfam says of the family: Transfer RNA (tRNA) molecules are approximately 80 nucleotides in length. Their secondary structure includes four short double-helical elements and three loops (D, anti-codon, and T loops). Lineage: Bacteria; Pseudomonadati; Pseudomonadota; Alphaproteobacteria; Rhodobacterales; Paracoccaceae. The record is from RNAcentral.
GGAGAGGUGGCCGAGUGGUCGAAGGCGCUCGCCUGCUAAGCGAGUGGACGGGAAACCGUUCCGAGGGUUCGAAUCCCUUCGUCUCCGCCA